RNAcentral lists this transfer RNA (74 nucleotides) under Marmota monax (woodchuck). Its description in RNAcentral is "tRNA.Ala". Lineage: Eukaryota; Metazoa; Chordata; Mammalia; Rodentia; Sciuridae. The record is from RNAcentral.
AUGAGGAUACUGCUUAGUGGUAGAGCACAUGCCUGGCAUAUAUGAGGUUUUGGGUUUGACUCCCCCUCUCCCUC